UAGAGUUUUNACCUGGCUCAGGAUKAACGCUGGCGGCGUGCUUAACACAUGCAAGUCGAACGAACCUUCGGGUUAGUGGCGGACGGGUGAGUAACGCGUGGGAAUCUGCCCUCAGGAGGGGGAUAACGGUUGGAAACGACCGCUAAUACCCCAUAUGCCGAGAGGUGAAACGAAUUUCGCCUGAGGAUGAGCCCGCGUCUGAUUAGCUAGUUGGUGGGGUAAAGGCCUACCAAGGCAUCGAUCAGUAGCUGGUCUGAGAGGAUGAUCAGCCACACUGGGACUGAGACACGGCCCAGACUCCUACGGGAGGCAGCAGUGGGGAAUUUUCCGCAAUGGGCGCAAGCCUGACGGAGCAACGCCGCGUGAGGGAUGAAGGCCUCUGGGCUGUAAACCUCUUUUCUCAAGGAAGAAGAUCUGACGGUACUUGAGGAAUAAGCCACGGCUAAUUCCGUGCCAGCAGCCGCGGUAAUACGGGAGUGGCAAGCGUUAUCCGGAAUUAUUGGGCGUAAAGCGUCCGCAGGCGGCCUUGAAAGUCUGUCGUUAAAGCGUGGAGCUUAACUCCAUUUCGGCGGUGGAAACUACAAGGCUUGAGUGUGGUAGGGGCAGAGGGAAUUCCCGGUGUAGCGGUGAAAUGCGUAGAUAUCGGGAAGAACACCAGUGGCGAAGGCGCUCUGCUGGGCCAUAACUGACGCUCAUGGACGAAAGCUAGGGGAGCGAAAGGGAUUAGAUACCCCUGUAGUCCUAGCCGUAAACGAUGAACACUAGGUGUCGGGGGAAUCGACCCCCUCGGUGUCGUAGCUAACGCGUUAAGUGUUCCGCCUGGGGAGUACGCACGCAAGUGUGAAACUCAAAGGAAUUGACGGGGGCCCGCACAAGCGGUGGAGUAUGUGGUUUAAUUCGAUGCAACGCGAAGAACCUUACCAGGGUUUGACAUCCUGCGAAUCCCUUGGAAACUAGGGAGUGCCUUCGGGAGCGCAGAGACAGGUGGUGCAUGGCUGUCGUCAGCUCGUGUCGUGAGAUGUUGGGUUAAGUCCCGCAACGAGCGCAACCCACGUCUUUAGUUGCCAGCAUUUAGUUGGGCACUCUAGAGAGACCGCCGGUGAUAAACCGGAGGAAGGUGUGGAUGACGUCAAGUCAUCAUGCCCCUUACAUCCUGGGCUACACACGUACUACAAUGCUACGGACAAAGGGUUGCAAACUCGCGAGAGCUAGCUAAUCCCAUAAACCGUGGCUCAGUUCAGAUCGUAGGCUGCAACUCGCCUACGUGAAGGAGGAAUCGCUAGUAAUCGCAGGUCAGCAUACUGCGGUGAAUACGUUCCCGGGCCUUGUACACACCGCCCGUCACACCAUGGAAGUUGGCCACGCCCGAAGUCGUUACUCCAACCCGCAAGGGAGGAGGAUGCCGAAGGUGGGGCUGAUGACUGGGGUGAAGUCGUAACAAGGUAGCCGUACCGGAAGGUGCGGCUGGAUCACCUCCUAACAGGGAGACAACAACUGAUUUUGAUGUUUGGCUACUUUAUUGCUAGACCGAAAUCCUGUCAUCUCGAAGGUCGAUCGGUACCUCAGGGUAG
This 1571-nucleotide ribosomal RNA is filed under the name Synechococcus sp. MH301. RNAcentral describes it as "bacterial SSU rRNA". It matches the Rfam family "Bacterial small subunit ribosomal RNA". The record is from RNAcentral. Lineage: Bacteria; Bacillati; Cyanobacteriota; Cyanophyceae; Synechococcales; Synechococcaceae.